GAUUUUUGUAAGUUUGUUGCUCCCAUAAAGAGCAUGUGCACAAUAAAGUGUCAGCAUUUGGCCUAACUGGUGUUUGAUAAAAGAGAGAAAUAAAAUAGAUGCAUAAAUUUCAACUAAUCAAGCCAAGAGAACAGAGAAGAACAAAAUUAAAGCUUUGCCCACGCCGUCAUCUUUGCUACAGAUCUAUGACCUUACACAGUGCUAUAUCUCCUGAUGUUCUGCUUUAUGGAAAUAAUGACUAUGCACAGUGCUGGGUCCUGUGAUUUAUUUGUCUGUUUAGAUUAUAAAUUAAUACAUGAAUCGAUAAACUGGCGCUUGUUCCUAAAUAAAUCACCCAUUAACUGAGCUCAGUGACAAGCAUUUAGCAACUAUAUGCUGGGAAAACUAAAUAAUAAGGUAUGUACAGAGAGUAAUCUCUGCAAACAAAUACUGUCCAAAAAUAAUACGCUGAUGAUGGAUUUCUGGAUCUAUUUCACCCAAUAAAUAAAUAAAAUUUACCUGGCUAUACAAAUUGCAAUAAUUUACAACACCAAAAUAGUCUUGGAAAUAAAAAAAUAUAAACAUCAGUUAACUUCAACAAAUGCAAUCAAUAACAAAAGCCUGAUUUGACAAACGAGAAUACAUAUUUUUUUCUUUUCUUUCUUUCCCUUUAUUUCUGUGGAAAGAGAUCAAGCAAACUUCAAGAAUAAGAACUUCUUCACCAAAGGAAACUACAAAAAAGGGAAAGACCAGAAUACAAAAAUGCAAAACCUGUUUAAAAGCUCUAUACACAUGGAGGGUAAAAUGCCCACUGAACUCCUACCUGCUCAACUAAAAAUCGGCCCCUUCAUCAGUAGAUCAUGGAGCCCUGUUAAAGGUGACGUUCAUCCAAGAAACAAGCCUCUCAAACCUAUCUGACAGUACAAAUUAACCUACAAGAGCCUGAGGUAGUAAUUAAAGCCUACUUGACUAUUUAGAGGAGCCCCUUUCCACCAAUGUCUUCAUUUCCCCCAAAGCCUCUCACUUCAUAGCCUUAAAGAAGAACAAUAGCCUCUCACUUCAUAGAGAAGGCUUAAUAUCAUGCAAAUUCAUUAAUUUUGAAUAUAAAAUAUUCAACCUUUUUUAUCAUAGUCAUCUUGAUUUCCAGAGAUGAAUUAGAAAAACAUAGUACAACAACAGAGAUACUUUUUUUUUUUUUGAUAAGUAAAGGAAAUUGUAUUAAAACAAAGGCGAGAAGCUACAAAGCAUACAGGGGGUAUACAAAGCAACUAGCACCUCUCAAAACAAAAAGAAAACCAACAGAGCCUCACCACCCCUUAAUUGGACGCUAACCACUCCAAGAACCCUAUAAGGGAUAGACGUGCCUCUCCAAUAUACAAUCUAGCCUAACUCCAUAAAUUACAGACAAAAGAAUUCUUAAGCUUUUGAAUAUCUAACACUCCCCCCCUAAAAGCUAGUCUAUUUCUCUCCUUCCAAACCGUCCAAAAAAUACACAACGGUAUGGAUUUCCAUAUCUUUUUCCUUUUCUUCCCCACAAAAGGGCCCCUCUAGAUAGUUAAGACCUCCUUUAUAGUUUCUGGAAAGACCCACUGCACACUUGAUAACCCAAGGACAAUAUUCCACAGAACUUUGGCCACUAUACAGUGAAUAAGUAUAUGAUUUACAGUUUCUUCUUCACACCCACACAGAUAACAACAAUUAGGAAGCUGCCAUCCUCUUUUCUGGAGCCUAUCAAGAGUGAACACCCUCCCCCACGUAGCCUCCCAAGCAAAGAAUGCAACCUUGGUUGGAACUGUAGCCACCCAAAUACAACUUGACAGAACUACAAUAUCAUUGGGAUUGGCCAACAAUCUGUACACUUCUUUGACCCUAAACUUUCCGUUUCUUCCUCCCUUCCAACAGACUGAAUCUUCCUCCAUAGAGGGCUUGUAACCCCUCAGAAUAUAGAGCAAAUCCCCUAUCAUAUCCAACUCCCAAUCAUUAAAAUCCCUCAGAAAUCUUAGAUUCCAACCCCCUUGACUGAAAUUCUGAUCCCACAUCUCCUCCACAGUAGCAUUCCUAUGGGAAGCCAUAGCAAAUAGAUGAGGGAAAUUUUGGGACAGCGUUGUACCAGUGCACCAAACAUCAGUCCAAAAACUGAUUUUGCUUCCCUUCCCAGCUAUGAACACCAUGUUAUCCCAACACCAAUCAGUUUCCUUCAAAAUUUCCUUCCACACCCCUACUCCGAACGCCAUAAGCCCUCUUAGUUCUCCAACCAUGACCUUCUUGCCCGUAUUUCACCAUUAUCACUUGUUUCCAAAUAUUAUCUUUAUCACAAGCAAACCUUCAAAUCCAUUUACCAAGCAAAGCUUUGUUCAAGAGCGCUAGCUUCCUUAAAAUAGUGUUGGAAGUGUCUACCAUGUGUCAUGGGAGCUUCUUCCAUGAUGGAGAGAAGGAUCUUGAGUAGGAAAGAUGUAGGGUGCUCUUAAAGGAAGGGACCUCAAUUAGAGGAUGCUCUUAAAAAUCAUAUUGAUAUGGAAAACAUUUAUAAUAAUAAUUUGCAACUUGAUGCACAAUCAUGUAUAUCACUAGCUUUUUGGAAGCAACAAUGACUUUAGAGGUGGCAGAUAAUUUGGUAACAUUUGAAAAAGAAAUUAUAAUAAAACUUGAUUUCAACUAUUUAUAAAUACCACAAUAUAGAGAAAAGCAUCUACAUAUCCAAAAGACUAGGCAAUAACACAAUAAUCUCAAAACUAUUGUAAUUGUAUUAAUGAUCGCAUAUCAUUUAGAAAAACCAUACUUCUACACUUUUGUAUUCAAGAAACCAUUGCCUGUGUAAGCUCAAAUACCACUAAUUUUUCUUUUUGGUUCAAUUUGAUUGGAUACAACCCCACAAUUGCAACGGCCAUGGUAUCUUCGUUAGACACAAAGAUAAGAAUUUUCCCAAUAUCCACAUCCCCAUAACUUUGCUAAGGAUGAUAAGGAUAAAAAAAACCCAAACCAAUAGUUAAGUAAUAUAAUUAGCUAUAGGAAAUAAGUUCCAUCUCUGACUUUUAAUCACUCAUUUGUCUACCCCAAAACAACCACCAUAUCACAACAUAACUACCUCCUUCCCUAUCAUAAAUUUUCACAAUACAGAAUUAAAAUCAACAGUACAUCAAAAUCCCACAAAUCAACCCUACUACUAUCACUAGUGCUGCCAUAUGAGUCGUUUUUUAUUUUGGAUAAGAAGCAAAAUAAAUAUAUUAAGAUCCCUAUUUGAAUGCACACUGAAGUGCAUAGGCAGGGUAGGCCAUAUACAAAGCUACCAUUAUAAGUCAUAAUCACAUCAAAACCUUAAAUGGCAUAGUCACAUCAAAUUAGAGCCCUGUCUAAUCUAAUUGAGAAUCCAAUAAAAUCUCUUUAGGUCAACAUCUAAAAACAAUACCAGUUUGACAUUCCUCGAUCAAUAGUUUAGAACCCACUGAAGCAUUCUCAAAGGUUUUUUUUUUGCUAUCCAAAGAUAUUAAUCAAUGAUCAAAGCUAAGUUAUUGACAUAUGACAUUAAUAAUUCAGUAUGAUCAAUCAACUAAAUGAAACCAUCAGUUAAUGAAUAUUGAUCAUCUUUAAUUCUAACCUGACAAAAUCCCCAUUCUCUUUCAUUUCAGCAGAGCAAAUAUAUAAUUGGUAGUUUAACAGACUCAACCAGAGAGAAGCCUUAUCCUUAGAAGGCAGUGCCUAAAGGUGAGAAGAAUUCUCAACAAGCAGAGAGGAAGAAUAACACUAAUUCCUUCCAAAUAGAACAAUUAUGUCAAGAUUAUAGGGAAGUUAAACUAAC
Molecule: long non-coding RNA, 3775 nt
Filed under: Vitis vinifera (wine grape)
Lineage: Eukaryota; Viridiplantae; Streptophyta; Magnoliopsida; Vitales; Vitaceae
Description: long non-coding RNA (VVIN_LNC005974)
Source: RNAcentral